Molecule: ribosomal RNA, 498 nt
Filed under: Triticum aestivum (bread wheat)
Lineage: Eukaryota; Viridiplantae; Streptophyta; Magnoliopsida; Poales; Poaceae
Description: partial small subunit ribosomal RNA
Source: RNAcentral
AUGGGUCAAGCUCCGCUGCGGCGUGGGUCGACGGGAAGGGCAGGCUGGCCGCCGUUCCCUUUCCGACACCUUUUUCCCCAACCUCCGCGGGCAGCAUCCUCAACUUCGCCUUCCCCUUCGCCUUGGGUCAAGCUCCACGGCAAGGAGGAGGGGGAUGGUGCCGAGGGACGCGAUGGGGUCGUUCAACUAGGAACUGGAGUUCCACCUGAUGUUGUUUCUUGGAGUUACUGGAGUGUGUUCUUGAGCGUUUCUUGGUUUCUUCUCAAGCAGGUGGAAUCGUCGUACGCCAAGGACAUGCUCCCGAGAAAGGAAAAGGAGAAGAUGUGUGGAUUGCUGAAACUGGAUACAGAGGGUGCUUCCCUUCCAGGAUAUCGACCAAGCCUGGCAGCUAUGGAUCCGUUCGAGGACCAACUUUGGUUCAGAGCCAGGUUUUGGGCAUAUCGCAGCGCAAGCGGAGGCAGAUCUCAGUCAAUGCUACUCCGGUUGAUAAUGCCCUAA